Fukomys damarensis (Damara mole-rat) is the source of this 1992-nucleotide long non-coding RNA. RefSeq lists it as uncharacterized. The transcript is spliced from 4 exons. Lineage: Eukaryota; Metazoa; Chordata; Mammalia; Rodentia; Bathyergidae. The record is from RefSeq and is a predicted model, not a curated record.
UUAUGGAAGAGGAUCUCUACUCACAGCCCGAGUAGAGUCUGGGAACAGGGAGUGGCUCUGAGCUUUGUCGUAUGCUCCCCUGAGUCACCAUGUUCUGCUACAGGCACCCCUGACAUCUUGUUGCUAAAUCAGACACGGUGAACUGUGCCACAGUCCCUGCCUGGAGGAGUUUUCAGCAAUGUUUGUAAGGCCCAUUUGGAAUUCAUUCCUCCAGACGCCGAAUUUUGUUCAGGACCAACAGAGAAAUGACUUUGGAAAUCUUGUCCUACCUAGUAGCUGCUGCAGAGAUUUGGUUAAUCAAUAGAAAGACUGCUCCUUCAGGUACCACAGCCUCACCCACAAAGUCUCUCCCAUCGCACUCCAUUGUAAUCACCCCUUUAGACACUGACACAGAUAGUAGGCGGUGCAUACCAGGAUUCCAGCUCUGGCAGUCCCGAGGCUCUCCCUGCCCUCAGGAGCUUGGAAUCUGGCCGUGAAUGACGGAAGAGCUCUGCUCAGAAGAAGAAGCACCAAGGCCUUCCUGUGUCCUGGGAGCCAAGUGCUGAGGUGGCUGGGAGCAGUGCUUCCUGGGGGAGUGGGGUCACAGAGGGGACACGAAUGUGCUUGGGGUGUAAGAGCUCUCCGAGGAAGGGGAAAGGGCUGCUGAGGGAUUCCCCAUCCUUCACAUGUGCGGCCCAGAAGCCAGUUGUAGCAUAUUCUCUGUGUGAAUAUUCUCUGUUCCUGCCUUUGGAGGCUCCUUCUCUGUGACCAGCCCAGCCCACGCCAUUGGGUCUCAUCUGGGCGACAGGGGCCUGCUCUGGCUGAGCUCCCUGCUGCUGUUCUUGUUACCAGGAGUGUAUUGGUAAACAGUGGUCGUUUUACAUCACAAACCGGAAUCACGCCACUCCUGCUUUUAGAACUCCCCUGUAGCUUCCCCACUGUAUGAAGUAUAAAGAUCGGAUUUCUUACCCUGGCACGGAAGCCGUGAUACAACCCAAAUACCGCUCACUCCUGUAGCUGCUUUCCAUCAUGCCUUCCCUUCUCCCGUCAAUCUGACCUUUUUGUUCUCUUUUGAAACCAAUAAUCGUAUCUCCGCCUCAGGACCUCAAGACCCUCUGUGUCAGCUGGGAAUGAUCUGGUCUGGAGAGCAGUCUUGGGCCGUGGCCAUAGCAACUCCGUUUUAUGGUAUAGAGAUUUUUGCCUCAGAUGGAGCCCUGAAUGAACGUUCCGAGUACAGUACCCUAAUUGGGCCCCGGAUGGGAGUGCGCAGGCCGGACGCCAUUGUCUUGCUCUCCUUUAGCCUCUCAGGGCUUUCUUGUGCACACCCGUGACGCCCCAAGGUCUGCAGGGUGAAGAUCAAAGCAAAGCCUUCAAGUAAUAAAUGUGCAACCUGAAGGGCGUUUUCUCUACCGUAGGAUCUAAUUUUAAAGUUCCAAGUACCAAAUACCCCACCAGACUUUAUGGCACAUUUGCAGAGUCUAAAUGUCUCACCUAAGAGUAAUCUCGGAGAACAUCAAUUAAGCUAGGCUGCAUGUGACGGUACCUAGACGCAAUCCUGGCUGGCGCAGAGAAGGCAGCGUGAUGUCGUCCUCGACGGUGGAGGUGGCAUCAGAUCGCGAACACAGCCGGGCACACCAAGGGAUAUCCCGACGACUGAUCCCGCCGCCCAUCUACAGCUGCUCUGGUCGUCGCAGCCUGAGGGGAAUCUCCAUGUCUGACACCAAGCGCAAGCAUUUGUCUAAUGCUGCCGGACACUGAUUUGAGUAUAAAACAUACCACUUGGAUCGGAACCUAAAAGAGAUGGCGAACUCUCACAGACAGGUCUACCUCAAGGAGCUAACCAUGACCCAGGAAAUGGAAGCAGACGGAAAACGGAGGAGGAGAGAGGACAAGGAGACAUAAAAGGCAUUUUAUGUUCUUUUUAAGGAGUCAUUAAAGUAGCAUAAAAUAAAAAACCUUAAAAUCCACACAAAGUCUUAUUUAGCUAAGACUCGGACAGAGAAAAACGUACAU